Molecule: ribosomal RNA, 253 nt
Filed under: uncultured bacterium
Lineage: Bacteria
Description: partial 16S ribosomal RNA
Rfam family: Bacterial small subunit ribosomal RNA
Source: RNAcentral
UACGAAGGGGGCUAGCGUUGCUCGGAAUCACUGGGCGUAAAGCGCACGUAGGCGGACUCUUAAGUCGGUGGUGAAAGCCCGGAGCUCAACUCCGGAACUGCCAUUGAAACUGUAAGACUUGAGGAUGAGAGAGGUGAGUGGAAUUCCCAGUGUAGAGGUGAAAUUCGUAGAUAUUGGGAAGAACACCGGUGGCGAAGGCGGCUCACUGGCUCAUAUCUGACGCUCAGGCGCGACAGCGUGGGGAUCAAACAGG